This 404-nucleotide ribosomal RNA is filed under the name uncultured bacterium. RNAcentral describes it as "bacterial SSU rRNA". It matches the Rfam family "Bacterial small subunit ribosomal RNA", at positions 355 to 775 of the family's 1533-position model. The record is from RNAcentral.
UAAGGAAUAUUGCCCAAUGGCCGCAAGUCUGAGGCAGCAACGCCGCGUGCCCGAAGAAGGUCUUCGGAUCGUAAAGGGCUUUUCUGUGGGAAGAGAAAGGACAGUACCGCAGGAAUAAGUGUCGGCUAACUACGUGCCAGCAGCCGCGGUAAAACGUAGGACGCAAGCGUUAUCCGGAUUUACUGGGCGUAAAGCGCGGGCAGGUGGCAGGCCAAGUUGGAUGUGAAAGCUCCCGGCUCAACUGGGAGAGGCCAUUCAAGACUGGUCGGCUGGAGGGCAGCAGGGGGGCGUGGAAUUCCGGGUGGAGUGGUGAAAUGCGUAGAGAUCCGGAGGAACACCAGAAGCGAAGGCGGCGCCCUGGGCUGCACCUGACACUGAACCGCGAAGGCGUGGGUAGCGAACGG